RNAcentral lists this unclassified non-coding RNA (198 nucleotides) under soil metagenome. RNAcentral's name for it is "partial internal transcribed spacer 1". The record is from RNAcentral.
UUGAAUAAACCUGAUGUGGUUGUUAGCUGACUCUCUAGGGAGCUAUGUGCACGCCCAUCAUCUUUAUAUUUCCACCUGUGCACCUUUUGUAGACCCAGAAGGCUUGAGCAAUCGAAUCGUUUGGGCUAUGUCUUAUCAUAUACCCCAUUAGUAUGUAUUAGAAUGUAAUCAAUGGGCUUCGUGCCUAUAAACACUAUA